Molecule: small nuclear RNA, 109 nt
Organism: Octopus sinensis (East Asian common octopus)
Lineage: Eukaryota; Metazoa; Mollusca; Cephalopoda; Octopoda; Octopodidae
Source: RefSeq, a predicted model, not a curated record
UUUGUGACAGAAUUACAAACAAAUGUCAUUAUUGUUGGAACAACACUGAAAAAAUUAGCAUGGCUGUUGCCCAAGGAUGACACAAAUUCGUGAAGCAUUCCAUAUUCAU